GAUAAUCCUAAAGGGUUCUUGAAGGAAUAUCUGUUGUUAUUGCCAAAAGAAUCUUUACUCAUUGACCGUCGAAUUGACAAACUAGUGCUUUUUGAUAAGGUAUUUGGCACUCCAGAAUCUUGUAUUUUAUGCCUUUUGUCUCCACGAGUUUCUUGUAGCCUAAUAAGCUGGGAGUAAGCUCCAUUGGUAUCCUUCACCAAUUCAUAAUGAGGACCUGUAUAGAUAGGAUAUGUUUGUGAGACUUAUUUCUAGAAUGGAUAAAAGUACAAUAUAUACAAAAGAUUCUAACCUUGUUCAACUAUUUUCCCUUGACGAACAACUGUGAUGCAGUCAACAUUCCUUACAGUGCUCAAGCGAUGAGCAACCACUAGUGUGGUUCUUUCUACCAUUAUCCUAUUGAGUGCCUCCUGAACUAUCCUCUCAGAUUCCACAUCCAAUGCACUUGUUGCUUCAUCUAGCAAAAGGAUUUUGGGAUCUUUAAGGAUGGCCCUUGCAAUUGCAAUUCUUUGUUUUUGUCCUCCAGAAAGCAGAGUGCCACGCUGACCAACUAGUGUGUCGUAGCCCUGGUAUGAAACAAAAGCAUUGUUAGCUUAAAUAUCAAAGAUGCUGCUCGAAGCAUUCAAAUUUUAUUUAUAUACAUUUGGUAACUUGUCGAUGAAGUUUGCGGCAUUUGCAAGUUCGGCUGCUCUCUUGAUCUCUUCAAGUGUUGCAUCUUCUUUGCCAUAGAUUAUGUUAUCUUUAAUGGUGGUCAUAAAGAGCAAUGGUUCUUGGCUCACAAGACCGAUCUUCCCUCUUAUCCAAUCAAGCCUCAGAUUCUUGAUGUUGAUUCCAUCUAUCAUAACUUCACCAGCCUGUGGAUCAUAGAAUCUUUCAACUAAGCUUAUAACAGUUGACUUGCCACUUCCACUCUCUCCAACUAUGGCCAUUGUUGUUCCACUGGCUACUUGCAAUGACAAUCCAUCUAAUAUUAACUGCCCUUGUCUUGCAGGGUAGCGAAAGUACACAUCUUUUAGCUUAACAUCACCCUUGAUAUUUUCUAAAACUAUGCCACUGGUAUCAUCUGAAUCUAUAUCCGGUUUCCUCUCGAUUGUUUCAAAUAGUCUGUAUGCUGCAGAUUGACCUUCUGCAAUUGCAGAAAUUGAUGGUGUUGCGUUACCUAAAGAACUGUUAUGAACAGUGGAAAGUGACAUGUUUAGGACAUUAUCAUAUCGUAUGUAAUGGUUAGUUUAUUUGUCGACAUGAAGGAAAGUUUUUAGCAACUACUAGUCCUGCAUCUAUUUACGCUUGCUGAGGAAACAUGAGAUGAAGAUGGAGCAGUGUAAAUAGAAUAAAUAACGUCCUGCAGAAGGCUUACAAGCUAGUUAUCAGAUAAAUUAUACCUAUAUAUUAAAGAAAUUAAAAUGUAAAUCAACUAGUAAUUUGAUUCAAGUUCAUGUGUUGUAGAUUAAACAGUUAAUUCAGACUUAUACAUUUGGCAUGUAGGUACAGUAGCAUCAUCAACUUUUGUGGAUAUGUCAUGCAACUUGUAACCUCUAGGUGAAUCUGCGAGUGUUUCUUCCAAUGAGAAUCCAAAAAUCUAAAAACAAUAUCUGCCUUUUCUUUUUGAUUCUACUGGAAUUACCAGCACCAUCAUCUAUUACAUAUAAAUAUAAUGAUGCUAUGUAUACCUUUUAGUGCUAUAUGAUUUUCUUUUAUAAUUUACUAAAUUACAUGAUGAUUAUUUACAUAGUAUAUUUGUUCACCCAAAUUAGCAUUUGCUACUGUUAUAGACUUACAUUCACUUAUCGCCGUGUUGUUAUCAUAUUCAUUACUUGAAAGAUUUUUUAAUUCCUGACAACUGUAAAAUAAUGAUAAUGAAUAGUUAAAACAUAACGAUAGCUAUUUGGGGUUAGCUUCCACAGAAUCUAGCGACAACUGCUAUAGCUUUGUGUGGGUUCCUUGGGAUCUCGCCAUGAAGGUGUGAUAAUUGCAAUAUACAACCUUAGUUCAAAAUUGUGCUUCAUGUUACUGAUUUAGAAGAUCUUCAUAGUGAGUUCUUUGUUUUGUUGUUAUAAUCUGAUCCCACAAAAGUAAGCGGUGCAGUUUUUUUUUCUCUUGAUUUAUGAUAGAAUUUCUAUAUUAUCUUUAUAGUAUUGUCUUUUUAAAUGCUCAAAGCGAAGGAGGGGGUUCCCUUAAGGACAGUUCUUAUUAUUAUAUAGAAAAUAAAUACUAGUCUGGAGCUCAGCUACUGCCAAUGACAUCAUGCCCUUAUUUACCACUAAACUAGUAAUAAGUUAUAAUGUUAUAUAUUAUCUAAAGGUAACACCUUGAAAGGAACAUCAAACCAACAUGUAGAAUUCCUUAUAGAAAUUACAGAAAAUAUAUUUAUUUACAUGCAUCCAUAAGAAAAAAGGUUAUAUGGAGUUUAAAAUAAAAGUUAAAAUAAUAUGUAAUCUCUAAUAUUUCGAUUCAUUCAAAUAGUCCUUCAAUAAGUUGACGGCUUAGCUACACUGAACAUCACUUAUUGUUAAAUCGGCAAUGGUCUUUGCAAUGUUAAGAUUUCAGAAACUCACGUUGCACCAGUCAACACGGCAAAUAAAAUAGUGAUGAUUGUCCCUCCAGUAUAACCUUUGUCAAUAAUUAGCUUUCCACCGUACCAGAAGGCUAGUCCAUAGCUGCUAAAUAAGAUGCAAAAGACGGAGCCCAUGCCAAAACCAUUGAUAAGGCCUUCCUCAAUAAUUGUCUUGUAUGCCCUUUUUAUGAAAUUGUUGUACAUUGCCAUAGCUUUCUUCUCACCGUUGAAGGACACAACCUGUUCACAUGAGAUAGGUUGCUACUUAUUGUUUGCUAUUCACCAAAUACUCCCUCCGUCCCAUAUUAAGUGACAAAGUUUUACAUGUAUCUAGACAUAUUGUAGCAUAUAGAUACGUCCAUAUUUAAACAAAUUUGAGUCACUUAAUAUGGGACAGAGGGAGUAUAUGUUUUAGCAUAUAUUCAACAAAUAAUUGAUAUGAUCUAAAAUGACUGAGAUAAUUGUUAUCAAUUUCAAAUAACUGGUAUAACUUGAACUCACUGUUCGUAUAGAUCCAAUUGUCUGCUCAACAGUGUCGCCAGCAUCACUGUAUGAUGUUAGUCUCUUGCUAGAAGCCCUGGUUAGUAGCUGCGCAGACACUGCACCGGCAAUAGCAACUAGUGGUAGUGAUGUUAGCAUGACAAGAGUCAGAAGCCAGCCUUUUGUGAAUGCUAUUAUAAAACCACCAAGGAAACCAGAUGAGAGUUGUACAAGCUUCCCUGCCUGUAAAUGAGAAUGCUUGAAUGUCAGCACCAGCAGCGCAAGAUUGAAAUACUGCCUAGAAAGUAUGAAAUACACUUAGCUAGUACAAAAGCUUAUGUAGUGGAGUAGUAUAUUUUCUAAAAUGAAACUACUGAUGGAUGCCAUUAACUUGUUCCUGCAGAUGAUCUGCGUAGGCAAUUGAAUGUGAUGAAAAUGUUUUGUUCAUAUAUUUAGAAAUCUCAUGAAGGUAUUACCUUUUCACCAAGAGCGCCUUGAAUUAUGACCGUAUCACUAGACAUUCUAGAAACUGCUUCACCAGUUGUCAUUUCUGUGUCGAAGAAUGCAAUAUCUUGCCUCAGAACUGAUUUCAGGUAAAAAGAACGGACCCGCGCUGACUGCCUUUCUCCUGCCAUUGUCCAGCAUGACACCUCUGGAAGAAAUGAAGGGUGAGCCUUUUUACUGGCAAUUCUGCCAUCAGUAUGCAAGUUAACUAAGUAUAUUAGUAGAUCAUUGGGAAAUAAAGUUUGUAGUUCUCAGGAGAUGAAUGCAUGACCAUUACUAAUGAUUGGUCUAUUCUGAUUACUGUAUCUCUAGGUUUACCAUUCAUGCGAGAAUAACUUUCUGUUUUGUUUUUUUCUCUGUUUCUGACCAGCACCACCCAUGGUGGUUGUGUAGCUUUUGCGCCAUUUGGGAUUUUGCUUCUAAUACAAAUAGAAGUGAUUGACGUUUUGAUGUUUGUUUAUAAAAAGGGGUAUUAUGUCAUGCUUUGGAAUCUAAUGAAGAAAUAGGUGAAACUAAUAAUAAGAGUAACUGCUUUGAGUAUCCUCUUUCACAAGCUUAUAGAAUACCCUAUAAAUAACUUGGUUAAUUAUCUUCUGCUGUUUAGUUCGGUUACAAAUGUUAUAUACCGACCGAAUGUAUAACUAACUAAUGUUUCAUUGACAGAAUUACAGGUAAUGUGUAUUUGAAAAAUAGAAUGGAAAUUAUACUUACGAAGAAAGGAGGCAACUGCUGUUCCAAUGCCCAGAUAUAUGAAGUUCAGGACAACCUAUAGAAAGAACAUUCUCUAUUAAAUCUACUCUUCAAGUGAAGUGAUCACUGUGAUCUGAGCAGUCGCUUACCUUGGUUACACUGCGGAGGACGGUGCUGCUCGUGCUCUCGCCGAAGGAGUUGAUGACGUUCCCGAAGAGGACCGAUAUGAGUGGCUCCGACAUGCCGUUGCCCAUCGCCCCCACCGUGCCGACCAUGAUCAGCAGCACGUCGAGGCGGUCGGCGUACCUGAACAUGCUGAGCAAGGGCACCUUCUUCCCGGCCGCAUCCUUCUCCGGCCGGCCAUCCUUUCCUUGCUGAUCGCCGUGGUGGCGCGCUUCUCCACUACUAGUGCCAGUACCAGUUGCUGCUGUGGCGUCCAUUUCCUGGUACCUUUGGUGAUGUGCUUGCUGUACGAGCCGCCGGCCGCACUGUGUCGAUCGUGUGUGGUUUCUGUCCCUGGUAAUGGUGGAGGCACUAUAUAUACGCAUAUUGUCGCUACCGGAGAAUGUUUUGACUGCUGGGCUUGGGUGCGGCGGAAGCUGGAAGCGACCGGGAAAGUUUGCGAUGGGAAAAGGCAAAUGGACUAAGCGCGCGGAUUAUGUUAAUUUUGACAUGUGAUUAAACGAAGAUACAAUUAAUUCAGAGCUAGUAGUAUUACUAGUACCGUUGCAAACAAUUCAAGAGCCGUGUCUCGUUUCUUCUGCUCUGCUUCAGCGUGAUCAGCUGGAUUGCGUUCCUCUUGUGAUCUCCUGAUAUGCUCGUUGGAUUCUCUGGUAGUCACCGAUGAUAUCACUAUGGAACAUGGAUUAUACUUGAGGAAGGACUAAUCGAGAUAUACUCGUGGAAUUUAUUUUUUACUGUCUAAUCAUAAUAAGAUAGCUGAAAUUUUCGGAAAACUCAGUCACUAAGCGUUCGGAUCAAUAACCAACCAUUCUCAUCUCUAAAAAGUCAUUCCGCAUAUGCUGUAAAUUGUUGUCGAAAUAUUAUAUGUAUUUAGACUUUUUUUAAGAAUAGAUACAUCCAUAUUUAGACAAAUUUGAGUCAAGAAUUUAGAAUCAGAGUGAGUACAAACUAAAAAUCACAGUAUCACACUAUCAUCAAGUAACGUGCAAUUUCAGAGUAGAUCUAAUCAGCUAAAGCGUGUAUAUAUAUAGUUCCUUUUCCUCCUUUGCAUCGUCGAUUUGUCAUCUAUGGACCAUAGAUAGAUGGACAGAGACGAGCGUUCUCUGCGCAGACUAGUCAGCGCGCGGCCCGCUGAGGCUGCUAGCUAUAACUUGGGCAGAGCGUUUCCACGACGGUGCCUGUGAAACGUUAAUGUUCUGUUCACUGGUUGUGUUGUCGAGUUGUCCUUGUACGUUUACAGUGGCCUUCCACUCCAAGAAGUUGGGGUAGCCUGCUAGCCGCAGGGGUAGAGAGAAAAUUCGUCGAGCUUUUGUUGACGGACCCAUCAUCGUUCAUGUGAGCUGAAGAACGGACGGCAGGGGUUCCGUGGGUGCCAAGCAUGCAUGAAAAGAUGCAUGGCAAUAUGGCAUGUGGUCCCUUCCAACUCGUGAGCCGCAGGAGGUUCGCAGGUAAUAAUUCCGUACAAGAGUUCCCUUGUUGACUUUGGUUGUUCCGGUCAUCACUUGGCUUCAUCGUUCAACGGUCAGCAUCUUGCUUUUUUUUUGAGGGGACGUCAGCAUCUUGCUUCCUCUCUUCUUUAGAACCGAUCAGCAUCUUGGUCCACAGGAGACCCGUGCAGCCCGUUCUCGGGGCGGCCCAACCCAAUAUCAGAGCAGGGCUUUGUACGGGGACUAGGUUGGCACUACCAUAGGCGAGAGCAGAGGCGGAGCCAGGCCCAGGAAGCCCAGCCCCGGCCUGGGUUGCGGGAUUUUUUUCUGGCCUAUACUAUACCAUGUUUGGGCCUUGGCCUGGGGCGCAACCCACUUCCAACCUCACUCGGCCCUUUGUCCUGCCAGCCCACCCCGAGCCUGCCUCCCAGUCUGCUCGGUCCCCUCGGGCCUAGGGGGGUCGUAAAGAAACGAGGGUCGACAGAGUCAGGGACGAUAGGAGAAUCGAGGUCAGAGAGAGAGAGAAGAGAGAGAGAGAGAGAGAGAGCAGCGACGUCGCCGGCGGCACCGCAAGUCCGCACGGCGCAAUCUGGCUGCCGCAGUGUCGCCCGCCACCCGCCUCCACAACUGCACUAAGACACAGGUUUCUUCUGCUGCCGCUGGCCGGCUCCCCGGCUCUUCCGCCGGUGUAUCUUACAGCCUCCAGGAGCUCCCCGAGUCGCGGCGCUAGGUCACGGUUGGGCCUCGCCGUCCGGCCGUCACCGAAUCCCAGUGCGACCGUUCGCCAUCGCCGAAUCGUCGUCCAUCUCUCCGUGGCUCCCCGGCUCGGCGACUCCAAGUACCCAAUCUCCAAUCGAUAACUCUCCUCUGUUCACUGCCCUCUCCCCACAAAUUUAUGUCCUUUGAUGUUCUUUUAUUUAGUUUAUUACUCGCCCCGUACAAUAAUUAUUGUCGUGAUUUUAGUUCAAAUUAUGUGAUGAAUUUUGAGUUCCCGUUCAAUUAGCGUACAAAUCAGAUGAAUUUGUGUACGAACCAAAUGAAUUUAUAUACAAACCAAAUGAUCAUUAGCUUAGUAGUUAACAAUUGACUAUUGUGUUAAAAUUACUACGGAUUAUCCGGAAAAGAAAUUACCCGAACGUUUGGCCUGGGGCGUGAGCCGUUGGUCAGCAGGACCACCAUUUUUUUUAACAGCAAAAUACCUUUCUAUUUCAUGGAAAUAAUAGUUACAUCGAAUUGAUAGGGUUGUACUUAGCUAGGAUAUGAUUGCGGUCAUCAAGGAUGGCUCAGUUUCCGAGAAGGGGAAGCAUGAACGAUGGGGUUUAUGCAUUGCUGGUUGAACUACACUCAAGGCGGCAUAAAGGGAUGUACAGAUAUUUAUUGUCCCUUUCUUGUUUUUUACAACUACAAGUUGAGAAAUGCAGCAAUUCUUGUGCUAUUUUGCAUUACAAGUCGUGUAAUCUAAUGUAAAUUGUAAACAAAUACAACAUUAAGGCUAACCGCCUUUAGUUCUGGUUUUGGUUAGGAGAUGGUUAGCCCUAACUGCCUAAGACAUCAGAGGUGAAGAUUGCUUCAGUAUGUGCUUUAGUUUUUUUUUAAACAAUGGGCUCCCUCCAUUGCUUUAGUUGUUCUAGGGUAUCGGAGAUUUAUGCAUUAAUUUUACAAAUAACAGAUCACCCUAGUGAUUGAGCAACUAUCUAGUGGAUAAUUAAGUAAUUGAUGAACAUCAACUAUCUACAACUCCACUAGCCGAAAAUUGACGAUGUGGGGGUAUGUAAGUGUAAACCGGCGUACCUUUGGUACUGCAGAGGUCUCCCGUACCUAUCGUCCUGGACCAUCGUACGUCAAGCUAGCCGCGGCGGCCGAACUAGUGUGGUCACCGGCGAUCCCGUCAUUCCUAUCCCAGGGAGUCGCCCCCGGCCGCCGGAGACGGAUUCACCGCCUGUAGUCUACCACGCUCGGUCUCUGCCAAGCCGUGUGAAAAGCAGAGCUGAAUCUAAGGGCUUCGAUUUUAUUUCUUUGGGAAUAGAAUUUCGAUCUUCUGUGGACUGUGUCUGUUAUGCAAGUCCACUUAGGCCCAGCCUAGUGAUCAGAACCCAUCUCGGUCAAGCGGUCAACCCCAGUAGCACAAACCAGAGGGAGAGAGUUUCCUUAAAUAAAAGCAGAAGGAGAGAGAUGCCUGAGAUUACGGCGCGGCCGCCGGCCGACGGCGGCAGCGCGGUUGCCGUCUUGCCGACCAUGAGGAAGAGCUCAUCAGUCCAGAGCCCCAGACCCAGAGGUAUGCGCUGGUCUAAAUUUCACACCCCACUCAGAAUUCUGAUCCUGCACAUCCGGUGGCGGUGGGCCAUGGGCGCGUUUAGCAGUUUAGCCCAUGUCGCCCUUCCCCACUUCCCCAGAAAACCUUUUUAGCUGUUCGUAGUCAUUUUAUCUUCCGGAGAGUAUGCGAGACGAGCUGCUCCUCGACGCGGGCGAAACUGUUGGUGCGGAACGUGCAGUUUUUUUAAGAGCCAUGGAACUAGCGAAAUUUGGUCUCAUCUCUAUGUGUUUCUUCUAUUCCUAUAUAUGCAGAUUAAUAUUAAAGCAAAUCUUCUGUUCGUAUAAGAAAAGGCCAAAUCCUCUGGUGGAAUCAGUCAAUGCAUGAACGGUUGUAUUAUACUCCACCUACCAUCAUAAGACUUACGUGCAACAAACUGCUACACUCUUGCAUUCACUUCUCAAAUCACAGACAAAAUGUACUUGUAUGCCCAAAUAGUUUUGCUAGGAACAAAGAAAUAUCAAAAGAUAUAUAUAAUUCUACUCAGAAUUUGAGCGAAGUUCAACCAGCGAAGCAUAGACUCCAUCCUUGAUUCGCAUCAGGGCAUCAUGCUUUCCUUUUUCUGCAAUUUUGCCUUCCUUGAGGACUGCAAUCAUAUCAGCCCCUUUAAUUGUGGAGAGGCGGUGCGCCACCACAAUGGUGGUCCUGCUGAUCAUGACUCGGUCCAAUGCAUCUUGAACAAUAUGCUCAGAUUCUGCAUCCAAGGCACUGGUUGCCUCAUCAAGCAGCAGCAGUAUCUUAGGGUCCUUUAUGAUGGCCCUUGCGAUAGCUCCUCGCUGUUUCUGCCCACCAGAUACUUGCACUCCUUUCUCGCCGACAAAAGUGUCAUAUCCUUGUGGCAAGCUUGAUAUGAACUCAUGAGCAUUUGCUGCCUUGGCAAUAGUCAUGAUCUCUUCCUCUGUCACCUCUCCAUGUUUCCCAUAGGUUAUGUUGGCACGGAUGGUGUCAUUGAAAAGCACGGGCUCCUGGCCUACCAGCCCCAUCUGAUCCCUUAACCAGCUAAUUCUUAUGCUCUUAAUUUCGACUCCAUCUAGUGAGAUUCUACCAGAAUCAGGAUCAUAGAAACGCUCCAGUAAAGAAAUUAUUGUGGACUUGCCACUUCCAUUUUCUCCAACAAGUGCUAUGGUCUGUGGGAAAGGAAGGCAAACGUUACAACACAGCUGUUUUUGUGCUUGUGAAUUAUCAGAUGAGCAUUUGCUGCCUUGGCAGCUGAAGGUAGCAUAAGAAUAUAUUUUUUGACCAGGGUUGCAUAAGAAUAUCACUGGAACUUGAUAGGUCACAUCCAUUUUAAGUAUGUAUUCUAGCUUGAUGCCAAGAGGUUGCAUUUAAAGUUAGUUCUCCCAAUGAAAAUCAUUUCAGUGCACCAAUAAAAAAGAAGAUCACAAAACGUUUCAAGUUAAAAGAUACCUUUCUGGAAGGAAUGUGCAAGGUGAAGUCACUGAAUAUUUGGACAUCCGGGCGUGAUGGGUACUUGAAACUGACAUUACUGAAAUCAAUAUUGCCGGUAAUGUUUUCCAACGUUAGGCCCUCACAGCUGCUUGAAUCAACUUUGGGCUUCCGAUCUAGAAUACUGAAAACAGAAAUGACGGAAUCCCUUGCCUUUGCUGCAUCAGAUGCUAAUGCACUUGACUGUGAAACCCCAGUAGCUGCCAAAACGAAAGCUAACAAAACCUGAGAAACAUCCAAUGAGUUUCCGAAUUAUUAUGAAAAGUUAAUAUCUAUAGUUCCAUAUAUAAAUGGUAACUUGAAAUGAUUUUAUUUGCAGGAAAUCUUGAAAUGAUUUUGGAAUUCUUACUUUGAAAACAUCUGCAAAAGUUAUUUUUCCCUGACGUAUGAACUGUGCGCCAACAUAGAAACAUAGAGCAUAUGUGAGAUAUGACACCAAGAAUGAGAAACCAAAACCAAGCCCUCCAACGGUUCCACUUCGAAUUCCCUGUUUCCUUAAAGCUUCACAUUUCUUGUUAUAUGUUCUGACCACUCUUUUCUCUGCACUAAAAGAUGCUACUGUUCUGAUACUACCAACAGCAUCAGUUGCAACUUGGCUUGCAUCUUCAUACAUCUCCUGCACGAUGAGAUCACAUUAUCAUUGUAAGCGAUUCAAGGGUCCUUAGGAUUGCUUAUCCUCAAACAAACAGGAAAUAAAUUUCACAGUUAUAAUGCAUUACCUUAGCUUCUUCGCUAAACCCCUUCAAGAACUUCACUUGAGCAUAACCCUGUGCACCCACUAAAGGGAUGACACAAGUGAUAACCAAUGCAAGCCUCCAAUCCGCCGAAAAAGCUAUGGCAAAGCCAGUAAUUAAUGUAGCUAUAGAUUGGACUAUAAUGGCCAGGUUAUCACCUACUAAGCGCCGGACAUUUAAUGCAUCAACUGAGAGCCUUGUGCCAAGUGCCCCACUGCAAGUGAUAAACCUAAAUCUUAACAUUUGCGUAAAUCUAAGUAUGAUGACAAAAAAUGAAUUACGAUCAUUGGAAUAUGAUACCUGGAAUUUGAGGGAUUAUCGAACCAAGCAACUUCUUGACGCACAAUGUUUUGAAAUGACAGUGUCCGGACACGCUGUAUAAGCUUGCCUCCAGCAAUUGCAAACAAAAAAUACUCUGCUGGGAUUGAAAUCAGAGAUGCAAUCCCCAGAACAACAGAUAACAGUGCCCAAAAGCUAGAAUCUUUUCGCAUCUUAUCUGGUGGCUCGUAGAAUGAUUUUAUAACACCAGACGUUAGUAUUGCGAACAGUGGGAAAAUGAGUCCAUGCACUGCUGCCGCUAUAGAACCGAGCAGAAGAAAUGGCACCUCUGGCUUGUUAAGAGAAAAAAGACGUCGAAUUGGUGCUUUCUUAAGGGCCUUCGCGUCGGUAAGCUCGUCCUUUUUGUGUCCGCCUGUGUUUUCAUCCUCAUGCAACUCUACAGACAAUCCUAAAGGGUUCUUGAAGGAAUAUCUGUUGCUAUUGCCAAAAGAAUCUUUACUCAUUGACCGUCGAAUUGACAAACUAGUGCUUUUUGAUGAGGUAUUUGGCACUCCAGAAUCUUGUAUUUUAUGCCUUUUGUCUCCACGAGUUUCUUGUAGCCUAAUAAGCUGGGAGUAAGCUCCAUUGGUAUCCUUCACCA
Molecule: long non-coding RNA, 11245 nt
Filed under: Brachypodium distachyon (stiff brome)
Lineage: Eukaryota; Viridiplantae; Streptophyta; Magnoliopsida; Poales; Poaceae
Description: long non-coding RNA (BDIS_LNC002586)
Rfam family: MIR1120/MIR1122 microRNA precursor family (bases 2835-2960)
Source: RNAcentral